UUGGGAUUAAGAUUUAGUUGUUGUUAUAAUAUGAUUUAACUUUUUUUAACAAUGUAAAUAAAUAUUUUUCUAAAUAAUUUUUCAAUUUUAGUUAUAAAAAAGUUGUAUAAUUCUAGUUAUAAAAAAGUCAUUGUUUUCCAUUUGGAAAACAGUUGGAAAAUAUAACUUUUGUUAUAAAAUAAAAUAGUAGAAAACAACUUGAAGUUGUUUUCUAAAUCCUAGUUAAAUCUUGAAAAAUUGGAAAACUGAUUUUCCAAUUUUCUAUUUAGAAAACUGGCACAUGUGAACAUGAAAUUCUGUUUUCCAGUUUUCUUAGAAAACUUCCUUCAAAAAACUAUCCAAAAUUUCCAAAAGUGAACACAACUUUGGUUUUUCAUUUUCUUCAUUUAUUGCUCUAGUUAAGGUUUGGCAUGUAUUUCUUUCAUUCCUUUACACAACAUCUACCAUUCCAGCUAAACUCAAAAACUCAAACAUCGGCUGUUUUCUUCAUUGAAUUGAUGUUUCUUGUUAAGCUUUGUUUCUGUAAUUGCUUGUGCCUAUUUACUGUAUCAAGAUGGGAAAAAAUCUCAUAAUUGCACGUCUUUUUUUAUGACAUAUAUGUAGAUAGCAUAGGGAAUCACUGAAGAAUAAUCCUCAGAAGUUAUUUGUAGUUUAUUAAUUCACUGCAACGCUUUC
This 675-nucleotide unclassified non-coding RNA is filed under the name Hevea brasiliensis (rubber tree). Lineage: Eukaryota; Viridiplantae; Streptophyta; Magnoliopsida; Malpighiales; Euphorbiaceae. The record is from RNAcentral.